UACGGAGGGUGCGAGCGUUAUCCGGAAUGAUUGGGCGUAAAGCGUCCGCAGGUGGUUGUGUGUGUCUAUUGUCAAAGCAUCAUGCUUAACAUGAUAAAGGCAGUAGAAACUACACGACUAGAGUGCGUUCGGGGCAGAGGGAAUUCCUGGUGUAGCGGUGAAAUGCGUAGAGAUCAGGAAGAACACCGGUGGCGAAAGCGCUCUGCUAGGCCGCAACUGACACUGAGGGACGAAAGCUAGGGGAGCGAAUAGG
Molecule: ribosomal RNA, 253 nt
Filed under: uncultured bacterium
Lineage: Bacteria
Description: partial 16S ribosomal RNA
Rfam family: Bacterial small subunit ribosomal RNA
Source: RNAcentral